GGUGGGGUGGCCGAGCGGUUGAAGGCACCGGUCUUGAAAACCGGCGUGCGGGAAACUGUACCGUGGGUUCGAAUCCCACCCCCACCG
RNAcentral lists this transfer RNA (87 nucleotides) under bacterium. RNAcentral's name for it is "tRNA-Ser". It matches the Rfam family "tRNA". Rfam says of the family: Transfer RNA (tRNA) molecules are approximately 80 nucleotides in length. RNAcentral also lists the same sequence under 1 other name. The record is from RNAcentral.